GGAGCCUGGGGAUGGUGGUAUAGGGCAGACAUCUGGUGCUGCUGGACACAGUGGAGGUAGCAGUUGCUGAACACCACUCCCAGGCCCAGCGGGAAGCUCUGGCCCCUCAGCUGGUGCUGGCCCCUGUGGGGCAGGGCACCCCAUACAGCCCGGGGACCCCUGCGCUCACAGAGGUGAGAGUGUGUCCCAGACCCAGCAGGGUGGGCCUUAGCAAGGGGGACACUUUGCUCCAUGGACCCAUCUUUCCUCCCUGCUCCCUCUAUGGCAGUUCUCUGGACUUCAAAGAGAGCUCCCCCCAGCGGUGCACCUGCUGACCCUGGCCCGCUGGGGCCCCAACACAGUCCUGCUGCGCCUGGAGCACAUUUUUGGGCGUGGGGAGGGCAGCAUGUUCAACCUGUCCCAGCCAGUGACCCUGAACCUACAGGAUCUGUUCUCCGCCUUCACCAUCAGCCACCUGGAGGAGACCCUCUUGGGGCCGGGGCUGAGGUGUGACGCUCCUUUCAUCUCCUGUCUCUCUGGUCUCGCUCUAACAGGCCCUGCUCCUGUGCAGCCGGCCCCUCCCUGGACCCCUCUGCUGUCACUCUCCAGCCCAUGGAAAUCCGCACCUUCCUGGCCUCUGUCACCUGGAGCAAGGAAAGGGACAGAUGAGGUUCUGAGCCCUGAGCUGCCCUUCGCAGACCAUGCUUUCUCUCCCCAGGCUGGACCAGAAGGAGCUCUCCUGUCACUUUCUUAGGGCUUC
Molecule: long non-coding RNA, 739 nt
Filed under: Phascolarctos cinereus (koala)
Lineage: Eukaryota; Metazoa; Chordata; Mammalia; Diprotodontia; Phascolarctidae
Description: lncRNA (ENSPCIG00000033254.1)
Source: RNAcentral